RNAcentral lists this ribosomal RNA (339 nucleotides) under uncultured Anaerolineae bacterium. RNAcentral describes it as "partial 16S ribosomal RNA". It matches the Rfam family "Bacterial small subunit ribosomal RNA", at positions 338 to 693 of the family's 1533-position model. Lineage: Bacteria; Bacillati; Chloroflexota; Anaerolineae. The record is from RNAcentral.
CCUACGGGAGGCAGCAGUGAGGAAUAUUGCGCAAUGGGCGCAAGUCUGACGCAGCAACGCCGCGUAGAGGACGACGGCCUUCGGGUCGUAAACUCCUUUUCUGCCGGAUGAGUGGGGACAGUACGGCAGGAAUCAGCCUCGGCUAACUACGUGCCAGCAGCCGCGGUAAAACGUAGGAGGCGAGCGUUAUCCGGAUUUACUGGGCGUAAAGCGUGUGCAGGCGGCCUGGCAGGUCGGGCGUGAAAUCCCCUGGCUUAACCGGGGGGGGUCGUCCGAAACCGCCGGGCUUGAGGGCCGAAGAGGGACGUGGAAUUCCCGGUGUAGUGGUGAAAUGCGUAG